AGGGAUAUGCAUCUAAAUGGUCCA
RNAcentral lists this non-coding RNA (24 nucleotides) under Arabidopsis thaliana (thale cress). The record is from RNAcentral. Lineage: Eukaryota; Viridiplantae; Streptophyta; Magnoliopsida; Brassicales; Brassicaceae.